Notechis scutatus (mainland tiger snake) is the source of this 538-nucleotide non-coding RNA. Lineage: Eukaryota; Metazoa; Chordata; Lepidosauria; Squamata; Elapidae. The record is from RefSeq and is a predicted model, not a curated record.
CAAGGAAUAGAAGUUCCAGAUCAGUCUCUUUGAGAAGCAGCUAUUUCCUUCUGUGCCCCAGGCAUUCUUAUGAUUCUGGUAUCGUCGUCAUCAUCAUCAUCAUCAUCAUCAUCAUCAUCAUCAUCAUCAUCAUCUUAACUAUUGUCUACUCUAUCCAUGGCAAGGUGAAGGUCUCAAGUUAAUGAGCUAUGGUAUUUUUUUGUUUUGGAAAACUCAGACUGGAUGUUUCUGAGAUCAUGAUGGGACUUUCUGCUCCACAGUUUGUCAUCUAUUUGGAAAUGGACAAAGGCAUAGAGGUAACAUCAUCAAUGUUGGGUUCAUUAGCCAAUCAGGUAAUAAAGUGUCUUCAAGCAAAUGACCAAGCUCAGAGGGCAUCAAGGACUCCACAGUUCAGUUAUGUAUGAGCAACAUAUAUUAUCUUCUAUUGGAACAAUUAUUUUUAUUAAACAUAACCUGUAUAGAAAAAGGCUACUCCAAAUGCCUAAUUAUAAAGAAUCUGGUUUUGUAAUCUGCAGUUUGAAGGCCUUCAAACAUCUUG